UUGCCCCAUCUAUUAUAUGAGGACAAAAGUUAGAAAAAAUCUCACGGAACAGGGUAAACUUAUGGAAAGAUUCAGCCUACCCUGACAACCUACCGCUCUCGUCAAUGAUGGUGCAUACAGGCUCGUAGGGGGCUAGUCGCUAGGUGGCCCAGGUGCUGUGCUGAGCUGAGCUGCUGAUGGCCACAUUUAUCAUGGCGUCGUAGCGGCUAGUUAUAUCACGGCAGCCGAACGUGGCAGACCUUUAUUUUUGUAGGUGAAAUCCAAGGGAGGAACUGCAAAUGCUCGGCGCCAUCUUGUACGAACGAUGUGGUCUGGCGGACACCUUACCAAGGUUUUUAACUUGUGCAUCGUAACGAUUUUGAAUUGGGUAAGUUGCAAGUCGGUAGAUUUGCUCUGCAGUUUCCCGGAUACCAGCACCCUGCUUCGCGAGAACUACUCUACGUUGUUCUGGGGGGCUUAGACGAACAUCUGAAUCCGAUUUUGAAGAAGUCUUGCAUCGAUGGACACUGACAAAAUAUAGGAAGCUGCACAUGAAUGUUGGGUAUUUUAUCAUAAGUAGAAUACAGAUAGAUUCUGUAGUAGUAGAUCUCUUUAGUUGGGUAUUGAAAUUGGCUUUGGUUUGUAUGGGGUCUGAUGAGGUCUCAGUUGCAUUUGAUCCUACUUGUUAUUUAUCACUGCCAAUGCCAGUCGAAAAGGAAGUACCAGUUGACCUGUAUCUGGCUAACAUGGACCUUUUAGCAGAAAUUUUUCUGCUUUCAAGGGAUUCAAAGAGUUUGCAGAAUAUUAUGUCUCUAGGAUUCCACAGUUUUAGGUAAUUCAAUUGACAAGAAAUUUACACUGAUUUUUGUUUUAUUUUUCUAAAGGCAGAUUCUUAAUUAUAAAGGAUUGGGAAAGAAAAUUGACGGAGGCUCAGUGCCAAAAAAAUUAUGGUAGUUGGAAUGAUUACCGAAGCUCUUCGGAUUCGUUUAUUUCACUCGUUAUGGUAUUUAAAGAAAAUAAACGUGUACCUGUGCCCCUUUGUAUCUGUGACCCGAUUUCCUCUUCACUUGCGAUAAUUCUGCAGCGGGUCAUGCAGAUACUGUGAUCAGCAGAAAAAGUUGGAAGUGCGCUGCCCGGAAAGCAAAUCUGGGGUAAAAGAAAAAAACUUAUUCCAACUAGUAAGCCAUUCCCAAAUUCAACCAACAAAAAGGAAAAGGUGGAAGGAAAAACUUCGUUCUCUGGUAGUGUUUUAGUUAAAAUCCUUUUUGUGCAAAUUCAUUUUUGAAAUUGUUUACCUCAUUUUCGAAUGGUUCCGUUCACAUUUGUUGUUCAUGUGAGAUUUUAUGUUUACCAGUUACUGCAUUAUAUUGACCACUAUUGCAAGAUGUUUGUUUAGGAAUAACUACUGUUUUGUUUAUCUGGAAUGUUGUGUGGGAGUCCAUCAGGAAUUGCUGGUCUGCAGUAAAUUUGUCAGGCUAGGUGAUGAAGAUCAAUGAAUCAGAAAAUGUUUUGCAUGGGUGGUGAAUGUUCUGACAGUUUUAACAGUUGUGAUGUGGUGUAUUUCACUUCCACGCAUCAUGGUGUUUUUAUCUAUCAGUUGAAUUGUAUGGUUAAUUUUCUGUUCGUGUAACCUCAUUUCCUCUUGAAUCAUAUAGUAGAAAUUGGUGACCUGAAACAAUGAACAUGGAAAAAUCACCUGUGCCAACGUUGACGAUGUUUGAUUGAUGAAGUGCUGGAAACUAAAAUUAAUUUUCUUUACAAUUUGGUUUCAGGCUAUCUUUAUAAUUUUUUAUUAGUUUUGCGUUUGUUUAGAGUCCGCAAGCUCGUAGCUGAUUUCCUCCUUUAGAUACCACCUGUCGACGGUUUGACAGCCUCACACAAUUGAACGUAUGCCAAAAAGCCAAAGUGAGCUCUUCCGAUCAGAAAAGUGACGGCGUAUCCAUUUAAUUGAAAAUAGGCACAAGAUAACGCACAAUUGGCGUUCUUGCCUCAAUGGAGAAAUUUUUCCGUGGAACUUAUGACCGAAAUACCAUUGCAGCUGUUCAAAAAAAAAGAAAAGUGUAUUAUCAUGCAGAUGUUGACUAGCUAACAAUCCAGAGAUACGUCAACUUGCGAAAUUUCUAGAUGUGUGUGAAGCGCAAUCAGCAUCCUUGUUGAACUGUGAACCCAAAUCAUGUAUUUUCCUAGAAAUAUCUAGGUUUUUGGAUAAAUAAAUAAAAGUCAGUGAAAAAAUGUGA
Molecule: long non-coding RNA, 2216 nt
Organism: Daphnia carinata
Lineage: Eukaryota; Metazoa; Arthropoda; Branchiopoda; Diplostraca; Daphniidae
Exons: 7
Source: RefSeq, a predicted model, not a curated record